GCCUCUGUAGCAUAGUAGUUAUUGCGUUGCCUUGGUAAGGCAAAGGUCGGGAGUGCAAUUCUCCCCAGAGGCU
RNAcentral lists this transfer RNA (73 nucleotides) under Candidatus Woesearchaeota archaeon. Its description in RNAcentral is "tRNA-Thr". It matches the Rfam family "tRNA". Rfam says of the family: Transfer RNA (tRNA) molecules are approximately 80 nucleotides in length. The record is from RNAcentral. Lineage: Archaea; Nanobdellati; Candidatus Woesearchaeota.